CCUACGGGAGGCAGCAGUGGGGAAUAUUGCACAAUGGGGGAAACCCUGAUGCAGCGACGCCGCGUGAGUGAAGAAGUAUUUCGGUAUGUAAAGCUCUAUCAGCAGGGAAGAGAAUGACGGUACCUGAGUAAGAAGCCCCGGCUAACUACGUGCCAGCAGCCGCGGUAAUACGUAGGGGGCCAGCGUUAUCCGGAUUUACUGGGUGUAAAGGGAGCGUAGACGGCGGAGAAAGUCUGAAGUGAAAGCCCGCGGCUCAACCGCUGAACUGCUUUGGAAACUUGUUUGCUGGAGUACCGGAGAGGUAAGCGGAAUUCCUAGUGUAGCGGUGAAAUGCGUAGAUAUUAGGAGGAACACCAGUGGCGAAGGCGGCUUACUGGACGGUAACUGACGUUGAGGCUCGAAAGCGUGGGGAGCAAACAGGAUUAGAUACCCCUGUAGUC
This 440-nucleotide ribosomal RNA is filed under the name uncultured bacterium. RNAcentral's name for it is "partial 16S ribosomal RNA". It matches the Rfam family "Bacterial small subunit ribosomal RNA", at positions 338 to 795 of the family's 1533-position model. The record is from RNAcentral.